GAUGAACGCUGGCGGCGUGCCUAACACAUGCAAGUCGAACGCACAGCGAAAGGUGCUUGCACCUUUCAGGUGAGUGGCGAAGGGGCGAGUAACAGGUCGACCACCUGCCUCAAGGCUGGGGUUGACAUCUGGAAACAGAUGCUAAUACCGAAUAAAACUUAGUGUCGCAUGAUACAAAGUUAUAACGCGCUUCGGUGUCACCUAGAGAUGUAUCCUCGUUGGAUUAGUUAGUUGGUGGGGUAAAGGCCUACCAAGACGAUGAUGCAUAGCCGAGUUGAGAGAAUGAUCGGCCACAUUGGAACUGAGACACGGCCCAAACUCCUACGGGAGGCAGCAGUAGGGAAUCUUCGACAAUGGGCGAAAGCCUGAUGGAGCAACGCCGCGUGUGUGAUGAAGGCUUUCGGGUCGUAAAGCACUGUUGUAUGGGAAGAACAGCUAGAAGAGGAAAUGAUGCUAGUUUGACGGUACCAUAAGAAGAAGCAACGGCUAAAUACGUG
Molecule: ribosomal RNA, 497 nt
Filed under: uncultured bacterium
Lineage: Bacteria
Description: partial 16S ribosomal RNA
Rfam family: Bacterial small subunit ribosomal RNA
Source: RNAcentral